CAUUGCAGAAAAAGUGGACGUCAUUUCUAAAGACUCACCUGGACUGUCCUGUCCCUCAAACCAGACUACCACUUCUCAUACAGGAUGUGUUCCUCUUCUGUCCAGACACCUGGAAAACCUGUAUAUUCUAUGGUGUCUUCACUCCUCAGGGUCCAAAAGCCUCGUAGUCUGUUGGAUAGGAUCUCUAAAUUUCCAAGGGAUAGGCUCCAGGUUCCUCACAACCCUCUGUAGGUAGUUACCCUUCAGCUCAUCCGAGACCACCCACUGAUGGAUCAGACAGUGAAGCCUUCUGAGCAGCCCCUACUGGUGAAGAAAGGAGCUGUGUUUACUCGUAUAGUGGUGGCCAGCACUACUGCCCUGAAUGGGAGCAGCCAUCAGGUCAUGUUUAUUGGCACAGAUACAUAAAUGUAAAUUUAGUGUACAGGUUACAUAAUUUAUACAGACUUAUCCAUGUAUGUGUUAGUGUUCAAUCAACUGUACAAUCUUUGUAACAGCAAGUGGUAGCUGCUUUUCUUUUUGUUUUAUAGUAUGUAGUAUAUGGAGCUGAUGGGAUAGUUAUUGACUUUUGUCACAAGAAAAAAAAAUAAAGCAAAAUGUGACCGUGUCAAUACUUGCCAUUAGCAUUAGUGAUAUUAGUGAAAAUCAUGCAGAGACGGCUGUGUCUAAGAAUCAAGUGUUUUUUUUUUUUUUUUUUUUUUUUUUUUAAAUUGGAACUUUGUAUGACAUUAGACUAAUUAAUUGAUUUUAUAAAGGCGAAGAAAUAGUUAUCUGUUUUUAGUUUUGGAGAAUGAUCGAAAUGCAUUUUCACUUGAGUGAAUUGUUUUUAUUCUUUUAAUAAUUUUACAAAAUAUUUUAGAAAUAAAAUUUUCCUACUGCUAUUAACACAUUUUAUUUACAUGCAAAUCUAUCUUUUUUUUGCCCUCAUCAUUCGCACGAGUAGAACUAAUAUAAAAUAAUACUUAAUGACUUUCCCAUCAUGGCUAUACCAGUACUCUUCUGGUUCAUUUAAUUAUUUCUACUUGUGAUUCAGUUUUAGUUUGAUUCUGUUAUAGUUUGACCAUCUUUUUAAUAAUUGCUGCACAUAUUGUUUCAGGGUCAGCUGUAUGCAGGCUCAGAGGAAGCAACGGUGCAGAUGCCACUGAGUACAUGUGACCAUUACGCUUCCUUUAUAGACUGUGUGCUGGCCAGAGACCCGUACUGCGGCUGGGACCUCAGCGCUGAACGCUGCAUUGCUAUAAAAAACAUUCAUCCAGAUACACACAGUUAGGUGGUUCAGAGUCUGAGAGAUGGAAAUGCUGCAUGUUUUCCUGUUGUCAGUAUGUAAACAGGUGGCCUUUUACAUUCUUUGGUUCAGCCGCAGGUCCAGGACCAGCAGAAAUCUCUCUUGGCCCUCAAUAUCCUGGUCAUUAUAAGAACACUAUUAUUAGCUCUUGUGGUAUGGAACUUCUACAAAGGGCAUUUUGCUGUCCAGAGAUGCUUGGAAAAAGCUGAGGAAAGUCCACAGAGUGUGUUUGUCUGUCAGGAGCCACUGCAAAUUGUUCAAGAAAGUUCAACAGAAAUAACAAUCAACAGAAUAGCUGAAUCCCCUGAUAUGACAAACCAGCAUAAUUGAGACAAAUUGCUCCAGUGAAGUUUAUUUUUUAUUUUGCAGACACCUCAAUGACAAAUCCAACAUAAUCCAGUUUCAUAGCUCAAGUCACACAAUCUGAACUGAUUGGAGAUUUAAAAACAGUUUUAUUACACUUUAUUAUUUCAUGUUAUUUGUAGACCUCAGUAUUGCUUAAAACCCUAAAGCAGUGAAACAGGUUUAAGCACAGUAUAUUGUUUGCCAAUUAAAAACAAAGGCCAAAAUAGAUGUGAUGUAUUGAAGAUUGUAUAUGGACUACUGAAGAGGAUUAUACAACCAGUCAUCCAUGGGAUGGCAGCAUAAUUCAUAUUUCCUUCAUAAAUCUGUAUUCUGGGGGAUUCAUUGAAUGAGAGUGACCACCAGUUAUGUUUUUUCUUUUUUAAAAAAUUUUUUUUUGAUUAUUCAAGCUAGUGUUAAAUGGUUUUGCGGAGGUCUCUGUGCAUUAGAGCCUGUGCUCGUCUUUCCAGACAGGAUACACAAAAGAUUCUUUCAAAAUCCAUGUCAGAUAACACCUUUGGCACGUCUAGACAUCUACACUGAACACAUUUUUUAAAAACCUGUAGCUGUUGAAGCUUCCAGAUUCAGCACUGUGUUUCCAGGGCAGUAGCUCAAUGAAAUUUGCAGGACUUUUUUACCUCUCUCUCAAUGUAUCUUUUUUUUUUUUUUAAAUUCUAACAUUUUGUGAGCAUUUUUUUUUUUUAAUGUAAAAUAAAUGUUUGUGUAAUGUCUUGUGUACAGAACCAUUAUUUUCAGUCUACGUGACUUGUAAGGAAAAUUAAGUUGUUGUUUAAAAAAGAUUUUUAUUGUUGCAAAAUAAUAUGAAAACAUAACCAUUAAAAUCUAAUCAUUUGAGGAGAGUCAAUUCAGUUAUAUAAAAAUAUCCAGAAUUUGCUUUACUAUCAUUUUAAUUACAGGUUAACCUCAUCCACAUAUCUUUUAAAUUACUUUUGUUCCCAUGAGUAAAGACCUGGUGUAAAGUUUAUUGUUUACUCAACAAUGAAAUGCUGCACUGCAAUGUGAAAGCAUCUUAAGUAACUUACAUAUUCACGUUGAAGUUUAAACUUAAGUACAAGAUAACUGUUUGUACAGAUGUCUUGAGCAUCAGCUUCUCAUCUCCUGUAGCAAUAGCGCUUGAAAUGAAACCACAGCUGAAGAUUCCCUUGGAGAACUGGCAGCAGAAGCCGUGUCGAUGUGAGCACUCCCAUUCAUGGAUGACCAUCUUAAAUACAAUGUCCUCGUAGGGCGGCCUGGCGUGAAAACGCAUAAUGCUAAUUUCCUUGUUGUCCAGACUCGGAUCAAGGAAGUACUGAGGCAUGGAACAUUUGUCGAUCAGGUCCGGGUAGAAGAUGUUUAACUAGUAACCCUGGACAAUUUUGGGGGGUGACUUUGGAGGCAAUGACAACUACAGCAAUGAGAUGUCUGCGAGCGAGCUGGAGGUGCUGGAUGCCUUCUUCUGUAUCAACGACAUGUGUGUCGAGCGAGAGCUCGGCGGGCUGCAGGAGCACGGGACUGUAACGACCCAAGUCGUACUCAGCCUGGUUCUGCCUCCAUCAGAUCCUUGUCCGUCAGCACAGACUCCGCUGCUCCACUUUUCUCUCCCUCCUCACCCUCUUCUGCAUCUCCUUCUCACCUCCCCCCCUUCUCUGCAGAGGCUCUGGAGCUCGGCCCUGCCUCUCAUCUCCACUUUCUUCCUCUUUGUAUUUACUUUCCUCUGCCUGCAUCGGCAGACAGGUAUAAAGGGCGGCUUUCCUUACCCUAUAUUUUGACAGUAUUAUGACCCCAAUAAAACAAUAAA
Molecule: long non-coding RNA, 3422 nt
Organism: Tachysurus vachellii
Lineage: Eukaryota; Metazoa; Chordata; Actinopteri; Siluriformes; Bagridae
Exons: 5
Source: RefSeq, a predicted model, not a curated record